This 500-nucleotide ribosomal RNA is filed under the name uncultured bacterium. Its description in RNAcentral is "bacterial SSU rRNA". It matches the Rfam family "Bacterial small subunit ribosomal RNA", at positions 29 to 521 of the family's 1533-position model. The record is from RNAcentral.
AUUGAACGCUGGCGGCGUGCUUAACACAUGCAAGUCGAUCGGUAACAGGUGUAGCAAUACAUGCUGACGAGAGGCGGACGGGUGAGUAAUGCUUGGGAAUCUGCCUAUUAGUGGGGGACAACCCGGGGAAACUCGGGCUAAUACCGCAUACGCUCUACGGGGGAAAGCCGGGGACCGCAAGGCCUGGCGCUAAUAGAUGAGCCCAAGUCGGAUUAGCUAGUUGGUAGGGUAACGGCCACCAAGGCGACAAUCCGUAGCUGGUCUGAGAGGACGACCAGCCACACCGGAACUGAGACACGGUCCGGACUCCUACGGGAGGCAGCAGUGGGGAAUAUUGGACAAUGGGGGCAACCCUGAUCCAGCGACGCCGCGUGGGUGAAGAAGGCCUGCGGGUUGUAAAGCCCUUUCGGUGGGGAAGAAAAGUCUCGACCUAAUACGUCGGGACCUUGACGUAACCCACUAAAGAAGCACCGGCUAACUCUGUGCCAGCAGCCGACCGU